GACAGAGGGUGCAAACGUUGUUCGGAAUUACUGGGCGUAAAGCGCGUGUAGGCGGCUGCGUGUGUCGGGCGUGAAAUCCCAUGGCUCAACCAUGGAAGUGCACCCGAAACUGCGUAGCUAGAGUCCUGGAGAGGAAGGUGGAAUGCUUGGUGUAGAGGUGAAAUUCGUAGAUAUCAAGCGGAACACCGGUGGCGAAGGCGGCCUUCUGGACAGUGACUGACACUGAGACGCGAAAGCGUGGGGAGCAAACAGG
Molecule: ribosomal RNA, 253 nt
Filed under: uncultured bacterium
Lineage: Bacteria
Description: partial 16S ribosomal RNA
Rfam family: Bacterial small subunit ribosomal RNA
Source: RNAcentral